RNAcentral lists this transfer RNA (54 nucleotides) under Sulfobacillus thermosulfidooxidans. RNAcentral's name for it is "tRNA-Gly". It matches the Rfam family "tRNA", at positions 8 to 60 of the family's 71-position model. From Rfam's summary of the family: Transfer RNA (tRNA) molecules are approximately 80 nucleotides in length. Their secondary structure includes four short double-helical elements and three loops (D, anti-codon, and T loops). The record is from RNAcentral. Lineage: Bacteria; Bacillati; Bacillota; Clostridia; Eubacteriales; Clostridiales Family XVII. Incertae Sedis.
UAGCUCAGUGGUAGAGCAUUGCCUUGCCAAGGCAAGGGUCGCGGGUUCAAAUCC